RNAcentral lists this transfer RNA (68 nucleotides) under Proechimys guairae (casiragua). RNAcentral's name for it is "tRNA-Val". It matches the Rfam family "tRNA". From Rfam's summary of the family: Transfer RNA (tRNA) molecules are approximately 80 nucleotides in length. Their secondary structure includes four short double-helical elements and three loops (D, anti-codon, and T loops). Further hydrogen bonds mediate the characteristic L-shaped molecular structure. tRNAs have two regions of fundamental functional importance: the anti-codon, which is responsible for specific mRNA codon recognition, and the 3' end, to which the tRNAs corresponding amino acid is attached (by aminoacyl-tRNA synthetases). tRNAs cope with the degeneracy of the genetic code in two manners: having more than one tRNA (with a specific anti-codon) for a particular amino acid; and 'wobble' base-pairing, i.e. permitting non-standard base-pairing at the 3rd anti-codon position. The record is from RNAcentral. Lineage: Eukaryota; Metazoa; Chordata; Mammalia; Rodentia; Echimyidae. RNAcentral also lists the same sequence under 2 other names.
CAAAGUAUAGCUUAAUCAAAAGCACCCGGCUUACACCCGGAAGAUCUCAAAUAAUCUGAUUACUUUGA